RNAcentral lists this ribosomal RNA (492 nucleotides) under uncultured bacterium. Its description in RNAcentral is "partial 16S ribosomal RNA". It matches the Rfam family "Bacterial small subunit ribosomal RNA", at positions 29 to 507 of the family's 1533-position model. The record is from RNAcentral.
AGUGAACGCUGGCGGUAGGCCUAACACAUGCAAGUCGAACGGCAGCACAGUAAGAGCUUGCUCUUACGGGUGGCGAGUGGCGGACGGGUGAGGAAUACAUCGGAAUCUACUUUUUCGUGGGGGAUAACGUAGGGAAACUUACGCUAAUACCGCAUACGACCUACGGGUGAAGGCAGGGGAUCUUCGGACCUUGCGCGAUUGAAUGAGCCGAUGUCGGAUUAGCUAGUUGGCGGGGUAAAGGCCCACCAAGGCGACGAUCCGUAGCUGGUCUGAGAGGAUGAUCAGCCACACUGGAACUGAGACACGGUCCAGACUCCUACGGGAGGCAGCAGUGGGGAAUAUUGGACAAUGGGCGCAAGCCUGAUCCAGCCAUACCGCGUGGGUGAAGUAGGCCUUCGGGUUGUAAAGCCCUUUUGUUGGGAAAGAAAAGCAGCAGGUUAAUACCCCGCUGUUCUGACGGUACCCAAAGAAUAAGCACCGGCUAACUUCGUG